Molecule: long non-coding RNA, 1456 nt
Filed under: Mytilus galloprovincialis (Mediterranean mussel)
Lineage: Eukaryota; Metazoa; Mollusca; Bivalvia; Mytilida; Mytilidae
Source: RNAcentral
GUUCAUGCUGUUGGCGGCAAUUUCAAAUUAGAAAAAGAAAUUUUCGUAUCUUUUCAAUUUGGAGGCAGGUGUGCAAAUUAGCGUUGGUCCGAGGUCCGCGACAUUCCACAUUUGCAAGCGGAAUUUCGACAAGGAUAGUUGGUUUCUAGCUACGCCCGACGUAGUCACCUUCCACUUGAAAGAAAAUAAAAAUUAACUUUGCAAACCUGUUCACCAAAGUCUCCAAUUAAACGAGCUAAAAACUUAUUUUUAUCAUUAUUAUUCAUGACAGCGAUGUUCAUUUUGUUCAACCGCUAGCUUUAUACAGAAAAUCGCCGAUAAAUAUUGUAUAAAUUCGAGUAAAAUCGUAUCUGAUUGACAAAAACAACAUUGUAAACACAUAACAAUGGCGGCUGUAAAGACACAACUUUACAAUAUCGGAUCCGAUUCCGGAAGCGAAUAAGGGUAAUUCCGGGUUUGGCGGUCAAUUACAAAAUAAAUCCAAGCAGAAUACAUCCAUACAUGGUAGAGGGCCCUCAUGGGGUUUUUGAUUAUGUGAUUACUUGGCCGUUUUUUUAAUGAUUAUUUGAUUAUUAAGCCAAAUAUUUCAUGAUUAUUUGAUUACCUAGGACUGUAUUUUUAGUUUAUGAUUAUUUGAUUACUAAAGAUAAGCAAAUAUUUAAUGAUUAUGUGAUUAUAUUAGCAAAAAAAUGGUGAUUAUGUGAUUACUAGGACCCCCCCCCCCCAUGAGGGGCCUCAUGGUAAAUGAAUAUAAACACUAGAAUUGUAAACCAAAAGAUAUAUGUAAAAGAAAGAAAAAGCAGAAAAAAUAUUCAAUACAGAAACUCAAAAUUCUUUUUGACAAAUUUCAAUUUAAAAAUCCAAUACAACGUGACAGCUGGGAACAGUAUAUCUAACAAUAUACAUGUUCAUGGUCACAGUCUAAAUUUUCUUUAUCAGUGAUAAAUGAUGAUAACGCAUGUGAGAUGCUUUUUAAGUAUAAACAUAUUACUGCAAUUUCGAAGGGUUAUUUUUUUAUCUCAAUUUUGAAGGGUCAAUUGAAGUAGCUGAAAGUUUCUUUCUUUAUUUUCACAAAUAAUGCAACUAUAUUAUAUAUACCUGAAUGUAAGUAAAUCAUAUGAUAUAUAGGUAGCAUCCUUUGGGCCACUCUACCCCCUCCUGUUUAAUAACUUGGAAACGGUCGAGCUUCCCACCCCUAAUCCAUAUGAGGGGCAGAUCCAGGAUUUUAGGUUAGGAGGGGCGCAAACUUAAAUUUUCUCCGAGCCGAGCAAGGCUAAAAAAAAAUUGAGGUAAAAUUAUCGGAAUAUUCUUUAUUAAGCUGAGAACAACCCAUGCUUUGCAUACAUGUAUAUAUUCAUGUUUGUGACAAUAUAACAAAUCAGAUGAAAUAUAGGGGGAGUCCCUUGGGUCACCCCACCCCUCCUGUUUUAUAAUUUAAAAAUGGUCGAGAUCCCCA